UCGUAACAAGGUUUCCGUAGGUGAACCUGCGGAAGGAUCAUUGUCGAACCCUCGCGGUAGAAUGACUUGCCAACCUGUACCAAUUAUUGAUUCGAGUGUCGGGGUGCUAUCUUUCUGAUUUGCCCAGACGAACAAAAACACCGGCGCAGCAGCGCCAAGGAAUAUAAUAAUGAGUGUGCAACCUUGCAGAAUUGGUGUGAAUUGCAGAAUCCCGUGAACCAUCGAAACUUUGAACGCAAGUUGCGCCUCAAGCCAUUGGGUUGAGGGCACGUCUGCUUGGGUGUCAUGCACUAUGUCUCCCCUCUCGUGUGUGGAGUGGGAAUAGAUCCUGGCCUCCUGGGCCCUUCCUUGGGCGUGGUUGGCCGAAAAUGUUGUCCUGGAUUUUGUUGAUGUCUUGGUGAGCGGUGGAUGUGCCAGGGGUGCAUAGUUGCCAGCCUUGCUCGACUUCAUUGUGGCGUUGGGAUCCUAUGAAGCUGCCGUUUUUUGCUCUUUGAUUGCGACCCCAAGUCAGGCGAGACUACCCGCUGAGUUUAAGCAUAUCAAUAAGCGGAGGAAA
This 556-nucleotide ribosomal RNA is filed under the name Cuscuta campestris. RNAcentral describes it as "eukaryotic LSU rRNA". The stretch from base 169 to 286 matches the Rfam family "5.8S ribosomal RNA", at positions 39 to 154 of the family's 154-position model. Lineage: Eukaryota; Viridiplantae; Streptophyta; Magnoliopsida; Solanales; Convolvulaceae. The record is from RNAcentral.